RNAcentral lists this ribosomal RNA (468 nucleotides) under uncultured bacterium. RNAcentral's name for it is "partial 16S ribosomal RNA". It matches the Rfam family "Bacterial small subunit ribosomal RNA", at positions 28 to 507 of the family's 1533-position model. The record is from RNAcentral.
GACGAACGCUGGCGGCGUGCUUAACACAUGCAAGUCGAACGGAAAGGCCCUGCUUUUGUGGGGUGCUCGAGUGGCGAACGGGUGAGUAACACGUGAGUAACCUGCCCUUGACUUUGGGAUAACUUCAGGAAACUGGGGCUAAUACCGGAUAGGAGCUCCUGCUGCAUGGUGGGGGUUGGAAAGUUUCGGCGGUUGGGGAUGGACUCGCGGCUUAUCAGCUUGUUGGUGGGGUAGUGGCUUACCAAGGCCUUGACGGGUAGCCGGCCUGAGAGGGUGACCGGCCACAUUGGGACUGAGAUACGGCCCAGACUCCUACGGGAGGCAGCAGUGGGGAAUAUUGCACAAUGGGCGGAAGCCUGAUGCAGCAACGCCGCGUGCGGGAUGACGGCCUGCGGGGUGUAAACCGCUUUCGCCUGUGACGAAGCGUGAGUGACGGUAAUGGGUAAAGAAGCACCGGCUAACUACGUG